UACGUAUGGGGCAAGCGUUGUUCGGAUUUAUUGGGCGUAAAGGGCGUCUAGGCGGGGAAUUAAGUUAGGUGUGAAAUCCACGGGCUCAACUCGUGAACUGCAUCUAAAACUGGUUCUCUUGAGUUCGGGAUAGGAGAGCGGAAUUCCAGGUGUAGCGGUGAAAUGCGUAGAUAUCUGGAAGAACACCAGUGGCGAAGGCGGCUCUCUGGCCUAGAACUGACGCUGAAGCGCGAAAGCGUGGGGAGCGAACGGG
This 253-nucleotide ribosomal RNA is filed under the name uncultured bacterium. RNAcentral describes it as "partial 16S ribosomal RNA". It matches the Rfam family "Bacterial small subunit ribosomal RNA", at positions 524 to 776 of the family's 1533-position model. The record is from RNAcentral.